Trichoplusia ni (cabbage looper) is the source of this 682-nucleotide long non-coding RNA. RefSeq lists it as uncharacterized. The record is from RefSeq and is a predicted model, not a curated record. The transcript has 2 exons. Lineage: Eukaryota; Metazoa; Arthropoda; Insecta; Lepidoptera; Noctuidae.
UGAAACUAUACAUUAGGGAAAUGUAACUAUGUUUAUGUGGGUUAUUAAAAUAACAGUUUCAUACACCACUGUGCUUUAAUUUCAUUUGAGAGGCGGCAGACCAGCAGGCCGGCGUCCACCAGCACGAGCGCGGGCCCGCGCGAGCGCACGUGUGCCAGCAGCUCGGCCUGGCCCAGCGCCUGCUGCCAGACCCUGAUGCCGCAAGCCUUGGCCUCCGCGAAGCGACGCUUCACGCGCUCGCGGUCCUGCGGAGAAGAUUUGUCAAUAAAGAGCUAACAAUUGAAAGGUUUUAUGAGGCUGGAAGGUUUUGUGAAAAAGCAUUUAGAGGGAUUUUAGUAAAAUCAAACGUUUUUCUGGCCCUGGCAAAUAUUCUGGAGUAAACUAGACUAAGAUAAAAAAGGGCUUAGACCUCUUAUUACAGGCUACAUGUUUAGUGCUACAUGCAUAGUAUUGUUCCUCACCAAAUGAAUAAUCCUGUCAUAGUACCCUUGCCGGCUGUAGUUUUCAUUGACUCCAAGUGUGAUGGUAAACAUGCGGUGCUCUAUACCAAACCUGUUGACACAAUCAGCUGUUAGAUGUUCAGUCUCAAUGCCAGGGCUUUGAUAUCAAACAAAUUUAGUUUUUUGUUGAUUGACUGCUAAACAUUGGUGAAAUAACAUUAAAUGUAACAAGUUCAUAUCAA